GUGAGGAAUUUUCCGCAAUGGGCGAAAGCCUGACGGAGCAAUGCCGCGUGAAUGAUGAAGGCCUAUGGGUUGUAAACUUCUUUUCUCAGAAAAGAAUUAUGACGGUAUCUGAGGAAUAAGCAUCGGCUAACUCUGUGCCAGCAGCCGCGGUAAGACAGAGGAUGCAAGCGUUAUCCGGAAUGAUUGGGCGUAAAGCGUCUGUAGGUUGUUUAAAAAGUAUUCUGUCAAAGAUUAGGGCUUAACCCUAGAUAGGCAGAAUAAACUUUUAAGCUAGAGUUUGGUAGAGGCAGAGGGAAUUCCCGGUGGAGCGGUGAAAUGCGUAGAUAUCGGGAGGAACACCAAAGGCGAAGGCACUCUGCUGGGCCAAUACUAACACUGAGAGACGAAAGCGAGGGGAGCAAAUGGGAUUAGAUACCCCGGUAGUCC
RNAcentral lists this ribosomal RNA (426 nucleotides) under uncultured bacterium. RNAcentral describes it as "partial 16S ribosomal RNA". It matches the Rfam family "Bacterial small subunit ribosomal RNA", at positions 354 to 796 of the family's 1533-position model. The record is from RNAcentral.